GUUACCUACGGGGGGCAGCAGUGGGGAAUAUUGCACAAUGGGGGAAACCCUGAUGCAGCGACGCCGCGUGAGCGAAGAAGUAUUUCGGUAUGUAAAGCUCUAUCAGCAGGGAAGAAAAUGACGGUACCUGACUAAGAAGCCCCGGCUAAAUACGUGCCAGCAGCCGCGGCAAUACGUAUGGGGCAAGCGUUAUCCGGAUUUACUGGGUGUAAAGGGAGCGCAGGCGGCUUGGCAAGUCUGAUGGUAGAGGCUGGGGUACAACCCCAGGAC
This 270-nucleotide ribosomal RNA is filed under the name uncultured bacterium. RNAcentral describes it as "partial 16S ribosomal RNA". It matches the Rfam family "Bacterial small subunit ribosomal RNA", at positions 334 to 621 of the family's 1533-position model. The record is from RNAcentral.